UACGUAGGGGGCAAGCGUUAUCCGGAUUUACUGGGUGUAAAGGGAGCGUAGACGGCACUGCAAGUCUGGAGUGAAAGCCCGAGGCCCAACCACGGGACUGCUCUGGAAACUGCGGGGCUGGAGUGCAGGAGGGGUAAGCGGAAUUCCUAGUGUAGCGGUGAAAUGCGUAGAUAUUAGGAGGAACACCAGUGGCGAAGGCGACUUUCUGGACUGUACCUGACGCUGAGGCGCGAAAGCAUGGGGAGCGAACAGG
RNAcentral lists this ribosomal RNA (253 nucleotides) under uncultured Eubacteriales bacterium. RNAcentral's name for it is "uncultured Clostridiales bacterium partial 16S ribosomal RNA". It matches the Rfam family "Bacterial small subunit ribosomal RNA", at positions 524 to 776 of the family's 1533-position model. The record is from RNAcentral. Lineage: Bacteria; Bacillati; Bacillota; Clostridia; Eubacteriales.